Long non-coding RNA from Caenorhabditis elegans, 2003 nucleotides. Ensembl annotates it as ncRNA. Its record names the gene linc-143. The record is from Ensembl. NCBI's taxonomy places the organism in Eukaryota, Metazoa, Nematoda, Chromadorea, Rhabditida, Rhabditidae.
UUUUUCCCGCCUCGUCCUCCUCCUCUUCGUCUCAGCUGACCUCCAUUUCGGUGUCCUUUGGUGCAUCUCGGUGUCAGUUUCCAGUUGAAAUACGCUGUGUCUCUACUCUCUCUCUCUCUCUCUCUCUCUCUCUCUCUCUCUCUCUCGGUUUUCUGCACGUGUGGUCUCUCUUGGUGUAGAGGCACCGGGCACCAUCAUUUUGCACUUUUUCUGUAGAUUUUUUGGCUCAAAAAUGGCACUGAAAAUCAUGAAGAAUUGAGGAAAAGCUCAAAGUAAAAUGAGAAUUUUUAGCCUUUAAAUGGGCGGAGCUUAUGUAAGCGCCACCCACUUCUGGGCUCUCGUUAUUUCUCGGCAAUGUUCAUGAUCUCAACCAGGCGGCAUAUUCGGCAAACCCACAUGUUUGAAAUUUGCCGUGCUCGGCAAACUCGGUAAAUUUGCCAAUUUAAGAAUAGCGGAGGCUGCAAAAUGCAUCAUAGCUCAUGUAGUGUCCUCAUUUCGGUUUGAUCUACGUAGAUCUACAAAAAAUGCAGGAGAAGAGGCGCAGAGUUCUCAACUGAUUUCGCAUGAUUUCGCAAAAAGAUAAAUUCAAUGCCCCUCUUUUUAUUCGUAAAUUGUCAAAAUUCGAAAUGCGAUUUAAAAUUUCCGGGAAUUUUAGGGCAUAUUCUUAUUAGAAAUAACUAUUACGGGAACAAAAAAUUCCUAGAAUGCGUAUUACACAACAUAUUUGACGCGCAAGAUAUCUCGAUGCGAAAACUACAGUAAUUCUUUGGAAGAUUACAGUAAUGCUUGUGUCGAUUUACCGGGCUCUCGAUUUUGAAAUAAAUUAAAAAGAGCCCGUAAAUUGACAUAAGCACUACAGUAGUAUUUUAAAGAGUUACUGUAGUUUUCGCGCUACGAUAUAUUUUGCGCGUCAAAUAUAUUGUGCAAUACGCAUUCUAAAAAUUUAUGGGGCUAUUCAAGUAGUGCUGGAUAAUUUGAAAUUGCUGAAAAAUUAAUGUAUUAAAAUACAUAAAACAUGUAUUUUAAUACAUUUUGCAACUUUACCACGUGGUGCCAGAGUGUCUCAUUUCGGCUUGAUCUGCUAUAGAAGUUGGACGCACUGUAUUAAACUUGGUGAACUAAAUUUGCACUUCCAGUUGGCUGUGUUCAUUUUAAGACAUUGAAGAUCAUUGUCUUUUUCUCCUUCGUCAUCAUCAUCAUUCGAUUCAGAAUACCCAUCAACUUAUUUCGUCGUCGUUGUUUUCGUAUUCUCCAUUCCCCCUGCGUGUGUCCCUGCGUCUCUCCACUACUAUUCCCUGAAUGUCUGCGUACUCUUUACCAGGUGUACUCUCUCGUCCCUCUUCCUCGUGUGUGUGCGCUCUUCGAAAAUCGGCGAGUUUUUAGUGAUGUGUGCUGCAUUGCAUAAUAAUCGUUUUUCUCAUUUUUUGGGGCUUUCCAAAAAAUUUAAUUUACAUUUUUAGUUUGUUUUGCGCCAAAAUUAAUGCAAAAAGAGUUUAAUUCUCUGAUUUAGGUUUUCCUGGUGAUUUGAUACGGAAUAUUGAUUAAUUUCGCGUGGGUUUGUUGAAAUUUAGUUUUUAAUUUGAUUUUGAAGGCAAAUCAAAUUGCCGGUUUGCCAAUUUGCCGGAUAUCAUUUUGCCGGAAAUUUUAGAGGGAUUUUUGGGCAAUUGCCGGUCGGCAAAUUUUUCUGUCCGCAAAUUCGGCAAAUCUGCAAAAUAGAUUUGCCGGAAAAUUUCAAAAUGUUUAUUUUCGGCGAAUUGCCGGUUUGCCGAAAAUUUCAGUUCCGGCAAUUUUUCAAUUUGCCGGAAAUUUUCAAUUCCGACAGUUUUCCGAUUUGCCGGAAAUUUUCAAUUCCGGCAGUUUGCCGAUUUGCCGGAAAUUUUCAGUUCCGGCAAAUUGGUGACAAAUUUUCAAUUCCGGCAAUUUUCCGAUUUGUCGGAAAUUUACAGUUCAACCAAAUUGCCGGAUUGCCGAUUUGUCGGAAAUUUUAAAUGCCGGUAAUUUUC